RNAcentral lists this RNase P RNA (132 nucleotides) under Alteromonadaceae bacterium. RNAcentral describes it as "partial RNase P RNA component class A". It matches the Rfam family "Bacterial RNase P class A", at positions 1 to 134 of the family's 367-position model. Rfam says of the family: Ribonuclease P (RNase P) is a ubiquitous endoribonuclease, found in archaea, bacteria and eukarya as well as chloroplasts and mitochondria. The record is from RNAcentral. Lineage: Bacteria; Pseudomonadati; Pseudomonadota; Gammaproteobacteria; Alteromonadales; Alteromonadaceae.
GGAGAUGGCCAGGUAAUCGCUGCUUUCGCUUGCGAAAGGGGAGGAAAGUCCGGGCUCCAUAGGGCAGGGUGCCAGAUAACGUCUGGGCGGCGUGAGCCGACGACAAGUGCAGCAGAGAGAAGACCGCCUAAG